RNAcentral lists this ribosomal RNA (671 nucleotides) under Escherichia coli B84. RNAcentral describes it as "partial 23S ribosomal RNA". Lineage: Bacteria; Pseudomonadati; Pseudomonadota; Gammaproteobacteria; Enterobacterales; Enterobacteriaceae. The record is from RNAcentral.
GAAUUUGUCAAAAAGCAUGCGACGCGGCUGAAUUCGAUGCCGAGCGCGUUUUACUCCGUAAACCUGGUGGCGCGUAAACCGGAGAAGCGCACUCCACAGACCAACAGCUACGCGCGGAAGUUUCUGAUGAACUCGCAAUGGCGUCCCGAUCGCUGCGCGGUCAUUGCCGGGGCGCUGCGUUACCCACGUUAUCGCUGGUACGACCGUUUUAUGAUCAAGCUGAUUAUGAAGAUGUCAGGCGGUGAAACGGAUACGCGCAAAGAAGUUGUCUAUACCGAUUGGGAGCAGGUGGCGAAUUUCGCCCGAGAAAUCGCCCAUUUAACCGACAAACCGACGCUGAAAUAAGCAUAAAGAAUAAAAAAUGCGCGGUCAGAAAAUUAUUUUAAAUUUCCCCUUGUCAGGCCGGAAUAACUCCCUAUAAUGCGCCACCACUGACACGGAACAACGGCAAACACGCCGCCGGGUCAGCGGGAUUCUCCUGAGAAUUCCGGCAGAGAAAGCAAAAAUAAAUGCUUGACUCUGUAGCGGGAAAGCGUAAUAUGCACACCCCGCGCCGCUGAGAAAAAGCGAAGCGGCACUGCUCUUUAACAAUUUAUCAGACAAUCUGUGUGGGCACUCGAAGAUACGGAUUCUUAACGUCGCAAGACGAAAAAUGAAUACCAAGUCUCAAG